This 432-nucleotide ribosomal RNA is filed under the name Enterobacter mori. Its description in RNAcentral is "bacterial LSU rRNA". It matches the Rfam family "Bacterial large subunit ribosomal RNA", at positions 521 to 954 of the family's 2925-position model. Lineage: Bacteria; Pseudomonadati; Pseudomonadota; Gammaproteobacteria; Enterobacterales; Enterobacteriaceae. The record is from RNAcentral.
GUACCCCGGUAGGGGAGUGAAAUAGAACUUGAAACCGUGUGCUUACAAGUAGUCAUAGCCCGUUAAUGGGUGAUGGCGUGCCUUUUGUAGAAUGAACCGGCGAGUUACGAUUUGAUGCAAGGUUAAGCAGUAAAUGUGGAGCCGUAGCGAAAGCGAGUCUGAAUAGGGCGUUGAGUAUUUGGUCGUAGACCCGAAACCAGGUGAUCUACCCAUGCCCAGGCUGAAGUUCAGGUAACACUGAAUGGAGGGCCGAACCGACUUACGUUGAAAAGUGAGCGGAUGAGUUGUGGGUAGCGGAGAAAUUCCAAUCGAACCUGGAGAUAGCUGGUUCUCUCCGAAAUCUCUUUAUGGGUUGCCUCGGAAUCGAGAAUCUUGGAGGUAGAGCACUGUUUGGACGAGGGGCCCGUCAUGGGUUACCGACUUCAGAUAAAC